CGGAACACCCUUGACAGAGGUUUCGGCCAAUGAAGAGGAAUGUUUAGUGGCGGACUGGUGAGUAACGCGUGAGGAACCUGCCUUUCAGAGGGGGACAACAGUUGGAAACGACUGCUAAUACCGCAUAACGCAUUUGGGUGGCAUCACUCGAAUGUCAAAGAUUUAUCGCUGAAAGAUGGCCUCGCGUCUGAUUAGAUAGUUGGUGGGGUAACGGCCUACCAAGUCGACGAUCAGUAGCCGGACUGAGAGGUUGACCGGCCACAUUGGGACUGAGAUACGGCCCAGACUCCUACGGGAGGCAGCAGUGGGGAAUAUUGGGCAAUGGACGCAAGUCUGACCCAGCAACGCCGCGUGAAGGAAGAAGGCUUUCGGGUUGUAAACUUCUUUUAAGGGGGAAGAGUAGAAGACGGUACCCCUUGAAUAAGCCACGGCUAACUACGUGCCAGCAGCCGCGGUAAUACGUAGGUGGCAAGCGUUGUCCGGAUUUACUGGGUGUAAAGGGCGUGUAGCCGGGAAGGCAAGUCAGAUGUG
RNAcentral lists this ribosomal RNA (531 nucleotides) under uncultured Oscillibacter sp. Its description in RNAcentral is "bacterial SSU rRNA". It matches the Rfam family "Bacterial small subunit ribosomal RNA", at positions 62 to 596 of the family's 1533-position model. The record is from RNAcentral. Lineage: Bacteria; Bacillati; Bacillota; Clostridia; Eubacteriales; Oscillospiraceae.